UACAGAGGUCUCAAGCGUUGUUCGGAUUCAUUGGGCGUAAAGGGUGCGUAGGUGGCGUGGUAAGUCGGGUGUGAAAUUUCGGAGCUUAACUCCGAAACUGCAUUCGAUACUGCUGUGCUCGAGGACUGGAGAGGAGACUGGAAUUUACGGUGUAGCAGUGAAAUGCGUAGAGAUCGUAAGGAAGACCAGUGGCGAAGGCGGGUCUCUGGACAGUUCCUGACACUGAGGCACGAAGGCCAGGGGGGCAAACGGG
Molecule: ribosomal RNA, 253 nt
Filed under: uncultured bacterium
Lineage: Bacteria
Description: partial 16S ribosomal RNA
Rfam family: Bacterial small subunit ribosomal RNA
Source: RNAcentral